Molecule: long non-coding RNA, 207 nt
Filed under: Ananas comosus (pineapple)
Lineage: Eukaryota; Viridiplantae; Streptophyta; Magnoliopsida; Poales; Bromeliaceae
Description: long non-coding RNA (ACOM_LNC034801)
Source: RNAcentral
GCGAGAAGUUCAUUGUUUUCGUGAUAGCAAUGAAUUUCAAUUUUAAUUUUUGGAGAGUUGAGCGUUCUGAGUAUUUUAAUAUAAUUUUGAGUUUUGUCACGAAAUUGCCAAAGAGGGAGAUUGUUACGGAUUUUAAGUUGGCAUAUUUCAUGAAGUAAGUCAGAGUCUUGAAGGUUUAAAGAAGAAGGGGCAAAGAUUGAAGACUCG